Molecule: ribosomal RNA, 802 nt
Filed under: uncultured archaeon
Lineage: Archaea
Description: bacterial SSU rRNA
Rfam family: Archaeal small subunit ribosomal RNA
Source: RNAcentral
CGGCUCAGUAACACGUGGAUAAUCUGCCCUAUGGUGGAGGAUAACCCCGGGAAACUGGGGAUAAUACUCCAUAAGUCAGGAGUACUGGAAUGUCUCCUAACUGAAAGUUUCGGCGCCAUAGGAUGAAUCUGCGGCCGAUUAGGUAGUUGUUGGGGUAACGGCCCAACAAGCCCGUAAUCGGUACGGGUUGUGGGAGCAAGAGCCCGGAGAUGGAAUCUGAGACACGAUUCCAGGCCCUACGGGGCGCAGCAGGCGCGAAAACUUUACAAUGCAGGAAACUGUGAUAAGGGAACCCCGAGUGCCCGUACACGCGGGCUGUCCCGGUGUUUAAAACACAUCGGAAGAAAGGGCCGGGCAAGACCGGUGCCAGCCGCCGCGGUAAUACCGGCGGCUCGAGUGGUGACCACUUUUAUUGGGCUUAAAGCGUUCGUAGCUUGAUUUUUAAGUCUCUUGGGAAAUCUCACGGCUUAACUGUGAGGCGUCUAAGAGAUACUGGGAAUCUAGGGACCGGGAGAGGUAAGAGGUACUUCAGGGGUAGAAGUGAAAUUCUGUAAUCCUUGAGGGACCACCGGUGGCGAAGGCAUCUUACCAGAACGGCUUCGACAGUGAGGAACGAAAGCUGGGGGAGCGAACGGGAUUAGAUACCCCGGUAGUCCCAGCCGUAAACUAUGCGCGUUAGGUGUGCCUGUAACUACGAGUUACCGGGGUGCCGAAGUGAAAACGUGAAACGUGCCGCCUGGGAAGUACGGUCGCAAGGCUGAAACUUAAAGGAAUUGGCGGGGGAGCACAAUCUCAAGGUCCU